AUUUACUCCAACUUUCAAUAUCCAGCCCAAACGUUUCUCCUCACUCUUCCUUCCUUUCAAUAGUUUGAAACCAUCCCAACUCCUCUCUCUCUCUCUCUCUCUCUCUCUCUCUGUGUGGAGAUGAACUAUCCCAUGGCCAAGGAAUAUAAUGUCCCUCCGGUGGAAACACCUGCAGCGUUUGUAACAGCGGCGGCUUUCAACGGUACCGUUCCAGUUGCCAUAGUCCGCAAACCCUAGCAUCCCAUUCAUGUCCCUCGACGUCGUUCUUGGCUCCGCAAUUCGGUGGUAAUAUUUCGGGAAUCGAAACCGGGUUGGAGAACAAACCACCUCUACUCAAAAAGUUAGGAAUCAAUCCGAGACAAAUUUGGAGCAAAACUGUAUUGAUUGUGAACCCGUUUAGAGUGAACACGAAUCUACAAGAAUAUACUAAUUUGUCAGAUUACAUAUGGUACUGUACUUAAGUUGAUGCAUGAGAAAACAAAGGUCCAGCUGCAUUCACAUGAGGUUCCAUAUGGAUCUGGAAUUAGGCAGCAGUCGGUUACAGGUUUUUCUGUUGUUGAUGAUUCAAAUAGUUACUGGGUACUCUCUAUAUCUCUUUCUCAUUUUCAAGGCAAGGUCACGAUUCUCACGACCUCCACUCAGGGAAUCGGCUCCAGCAUCGCCGAGCAUCUCGGCUUCGCAAACAAGUUUUGAUUAUUCUGCAGAAAAAUGUAGAUAAGGCUGUGGAGAAGCUUAAAUCAAGAGGAAUUGAAGUGUUUGAAGUGGUUUGUCAUGUGUCUGUAGUUCAACAAAGGAAGAAUAUGGUAGAAAGACUGUUCAGGUUAGAAAUUAUUUGGAGAGAUGCAAAAUAUGAUCAAAAAACUUAAAGACUUUGUGCUUUAAGUUUUUUCAUUUUUUUAAUGUGUAAUCACAGUUAAUUUUUUUAUUAUUAAUUUCUUUGUAUAUAUUUUUGAACAUUCAACUUUUAUUUUUGAAAUAUGUGACGUUAUUCCAUUCAAUAUAUAGUUAUGAUUCAAAAGACAGUAUAUAUAUUGUGUAUUAUAUUCUUCAAAUGCGUACAAAAAUAAUAUUGAUUAUUCUUCAAAUAUGUCGAACCCUUUUUUUUUUUAUCACACGUACUAACUGUGAUGAGAAAUGUUGUAAUGACUCGGAUUUUAAUUCUUAUUGGAUUGAUGUAAAGUGGUGUCCGUCACCUUAAAACUUGUAUGGUUGUUGGACUCUUGAUAUUGAUGGGUUGGCAAGUGAACUUUAAAUAUUAUAA
Molecule: non-coding RNA, 1261 nt
Organism: Camellia sinensis
Lineage: Eukaryota; Viridiplantae; Streptophyta; Magnoliopsida; Ericales; Theaceae
Source: RefSeq, a predicted model, not a curated record